UCCAGAUCAAUACCGUCGGCGAUGCGGGUGGCACUUUCAAGGAAGGUUUCCAUGAAGUCUUCAAAUCGAAGUUUCUGCGUGUUGGCGACCUUCAACGUCUUCAGUUUCUCCUCGCGCACCUCCUUGCAAUGGACUCGGACCAGGGACAGAGCAACAUCUGCACCACAAUGAGCUGCAGAUUUCUUCCACGACUGCACUCGGUUCGGAAUCUCCUCCAGUCGGGUCAUCAGGUUCUCCAUCUCCUGCCGCGACUCAUUUUCUGGCCAAAGCUCCUUGUCGAUUCGGCCGACGACUUCUCUCAGUCGACCGAUGAAAGGACCAACUUUGCCCACGCGGAUGUGUGCACGGAGCAGAUCCCGAU
Molecule: long non-coding RNA, 361 nt
Filed under: Hordeum vulgare
Lineage: Eukaryota; Viridiplantae; Streptophyta; Magnoliopsida; Poales; Poaceae
Description: long non-coding RNA (HVUL_LNC001630)
Source: RNAcentral